Molecule: non-coding RNA, 159 nt
Organism: Salmo salar (Atlantic salmon)
Lineage: Eukaryota; Metazoa; Chordata; Actinopteri; Salmoniformes; Salmonidae
Source: RefSeq, a predicted model, not a curated record
AAUGGCUGUUGAAUGGAGUAGACCAAGGCGCAGCGUGGUUAGUGCUCAUCAUGAAAUUUAAUGGAAAAUGAGAACACUUUACAACUAAACAAAAGACAACAGCCAAACAGUUCUGUCAGGUAACAAAUGACUAAACAGAAAAUAACCAUCCACAAAACC